RNAcentral lists this ribosomal RNA (433 nucleotides) under uncultured bacterium. RNAcentral's name for it is "partial 16S ribosomal RNA". It matches the Rfam family "Bacterial small subunit ribosomal RNA", at positions 29 to 507 of the family's 1533-position model. The record is from RNAcentral.
AACGAACGCUGGCGGCAGGCUUAACACAUGCAAGUCGAGCGAGACCUUCGGGUCUAGCGGCGGACGGGUGAGUAACGCGUGGGAACGUGCCCUUCUCUACGGAAUAGCCCCGGGAAACGGGGAGUAAUACCGUAUACGCCCUUUGGGGGAAAGAUUUAUCGGAGAAGGAUCGGCCCGCGUUGGAUUAGGUAGUUGGUGGGGUAAUGGCCCACCAAGCCGACGAUCCAUAGCUGGUUUGAGAGGAUGAUCAGCCACACUGGGACUGAGACACGGCCCAGACUCCUACGGGAGGCAGCAGUGGGGAAUCUUAGACAAUGGGGGCAACCCUGAUCUAGCCAUGCCGCGUGAGUGAUGAAGGCCUUAGGGUUGUAAAGCUCUUUCAGCUGGGAAGAUAAUGACGGUACCAGCAGAAGAAGCCCCGGCUAACUCCGUG